GCUCUUUCUUGAUCUUGCGAAUGGUGGUGCAUGGCCGUUCUUAGUUCGUGGAACAUUUUGUCUGGUCGAUUCUGAUAACGGACGAGACUCGAACGAUGCAUGUCUGAAAAGCGGUCGCUUGCCUUUUGCUUGAAUGCUUGGCAACCGAGGCGAACCGAAAAACUUAUCAACUUGACGGACCGGCGGCGUUGAUGUGUAAGCCGCACGAGAUCGAGCGAUAACAGGUCUGUGAUGCCCUUAAAUGAAAAGAGACGGCUCCGCUAGACGGGAGCGUCCUUCGGGGCCUCCCGGUCUUACUGGUAGACCGUUCCCCGGGUCGACGGGCCCGGGAGAUCGGCUGGAAUCUCGAUCGUGAUCGGGACAGAGUCUUGUAAUUGUUACUCUCAAACGAGGAAUUCCUAGUAGGCGCGAGUCAUGACCUCGCGUCGACUGCGUCCCUGCCCUUU
This 446-nucleotide ribosomal RNA is filed under the name Diplosoma aggregatum. RNAcentral describes it as "partial 18S ribosomal RNA". It matches the Rfam family "Eukaryotic small subunit ribosomal RNA", at positions 1254 to 1661 of the family's 1831-position model. The record is from RNAcentral. Lineage: Eukaryota; Metazoa; Chordata; Ascidiacea; Aplousobranchia; Didemnidae.